RNAcentral lists this long non-coding RNA (826 nucleotides) under Nicotiana benthamiana. RNAcentral describes it as "long non-coding RNA (NBEN_LNC034921)". The record is from RNAcentral. Lineage: Eukaryota; Viridiplantae; Streptophyta; Magnoliopsida; Solanales; Solanaceae.
AUUACUACAACACAAUAUACAAUGAAAUAUAUAUUAUAUAUACUAUACUAAUAACUUAGUAUACCAUAUAAAAUAUAUUCUAUAUUGUACUAAUAACUACUAUACAAGAUAUUGCCCUAAAAAAAUCCGUCAUACCCGCCAGGCCCAGGACCACUGUGGGGGCUGGUCUCAAUCGUUAGGACCGCCAUGCCCGGGACCGCCAGGUCCGGUACACGAAGCCCGGGCCGUAUAGACCCGGGCCCGGGCCAAUUUACACCCUUAAAGCAAACUCCAUUUCAACACCAAAAAUUCUGAAGCUUGAACCAGAAUACAAAAAAAAACUAUUUUUAUCUAUAUUUGUUUUUUUUUUUUUUUUUUAAUCUUGAAAUCAAGAAAUGGAAAGGAAAUUUUUCCUUCUAAACUUCAUCUCCAAUAAAACUUCUGAAAGACAAAUCUUCUCUGAAAAUCCCCCUUUUCCAAAAAUCACAAUCCCUCUAGUUAUCAGGCAAACACUUGAUCAAUAAAAGGCUGGGAUCAAUCAAAUCGAUCCCACGCUCCCAUUCAUCCAGCAUAUGCCUUCUAGAGGCUUCCAUCACGUGAGAAGGGAGAUAGGGAUGAAAGAAUUUGUCAAAAAUCAUAAAAAAUAUGGUAAGUGGUGAGAUGGGGGUGCGUGAGGUGAGUUUUGGUGAAGAACUCAUCGGAAACUCAGACGAGUUGAGCAAGUGGACACGACUGAAGAAGUAAGGCUAAAAAAAGACGCUAUUUUUGGGUUCUUUCAUUUAGGGUUAGGUUAUUCCUUCCUUGUGUUAUGUAUUUAGGGGAAUGGGUCAGGUCAGGGGGGCGGGUU